Molecule: ribosomal RNA, 253 nt
Filed under: uncultured Agrobacterium sp.
Lineage: Bacteria; Pseudomonadati; Pseudomonadota; Alphaproteobacteria; Hyphomicrobiales; Rhizobiaceae
Description: partial 16S ribosomal RNA
Rfam family: Bacterial small subunit ribosomal RNA
Source: RNAcentral
UACGAAGGGGGCUAGCGUUGUUCGGAAUUAUUGGGCGUAAAGCGCACGUAGGCGGAUAUUUAAGUCAGGGGUGAAAUCCCGCAGCUCAACUGCGGAACUGCCUUUGAAACUGGGUAUCUUGAGUAUGGAAGAGGUAAGUGGAAUUGCGAGUGUAGAGGUGAAAUUCGUAGAUAUUCGCAGGAACACCAGUGGCGAAGGCGGCUUACUGGUCCAUUACUGACGCUGAGGUGCGAAAGCGUGGGGAGCAAACAGG